GGCUCGGUGGCGGAUGGUCCGCAUCUGCAAUAUAUUAAUGUGUCUUGAGCUGAUUGAUAAUAUGCAGACGACGCUCGUUCGAUUCAAGCCCGAGUCA
This is a non-coding RNA of Mycena epipterygia, 97 nucleotides long. The record is from the annotation of a GenBank genome assembly. Lineage: Eukaryota; Fungi; Basidiomycota; Agaricomycetes; Agaricales; Mycenaceae.